This 465-nucleotide ribosomal RNA is filed under the name uncultured bacterium. RNAcentral's name for it is "partial 16S ribosomal RNA". It matches the Rfam family "Bacterial small subunit ribosomal RNA", at positions 28 to 507 of the family's 1533-position model. The record is from RNAcentral.
GAUGAACGCUGGCGGCGUGCUUAACACAUGCAAGUCGAACGGAAAGGCUCCUGCUUGCAGGGGUACUCGAGUGGCGAACGGGUGAGUAACACGUGGGUGAUCUGCCCUGCACUUCGGGAUAAGCCUGGGAAACUGGGUCUAAUACCGGAUAGGACCACAUUUUGGAUGGUGUGGUGGAAAGUUUUUCGGUGUGGGAUGAGCUCGCGGCCUAUCAGCUUGUUGGUGGGGUAAUGGCCUACCAAGGCGUCGACGGGUAGCCGGCCUGAGAGGGUGUACGGCCACAUUGGGACUGAGAUACGGCCCAGACUCCUACGGGAGGCAGCAGUGGGGAAUAUUGCACAAUGGGCGCAAGCCUGAUGCAGCGACGCCGCGUGGGGGAUGACGGCCUUCGGGUUGUAAACUCCUUUCGCUAGGAACGAAGCGCAAGUGACGGUACCUGGAGAAGAAGCACCGGCUAACUACGUG